Molecule: ribosomal RNA, 468 nt
Filed under: uncultured bacterium
Lineage: Bacteria
Description: partial 16S ribosomal RNA
Rfam family: Bacterial small subunit ribosomal RNA
Source: RNAcentral
GACGAACGCUGGCGGCGUGCUUAACACAUGCAAGUCGAACGGAAAGGCCCUGCUUUUGUGGGGUGCUCGAGUUGCGAACGGGUGAGUAACACGUGAGUAACCUGCCCUUGACUUUGGGAUAACUUCAGGAAACUGGGGCUAAUACCGGAUAGGAGCUCCUGCUGCAUGGUGGGGGUUGGAAAGUUUCGGCGGUUGGGGAUGGACUCGCGGCUUAUCAGCUUGUUGGUGGGGUAGUGGCUUACCAAGGCUUUGACGGGUAGCCGGCCUGAGAGGGUGACCGGCCACAUUGGGACUGAGAUACGGCCCAGCCUCCUACGGGAGGCAGCAGUGGGGAAUAUUGCACAAUGGGCGGAAGCCUGAUGCAGCAACGCCGCGUGCGGGAUGACGGCAUUCGGGUUGUAAACCGCUUUCGCCUGUGACGAAGCGUGAGUGACGGUAAUGGGUAAAGAAGCACCGGCUAACUACGUG